ACUAUUUUUCAAGUCCUCCUUUAGUAUCACACCAAGUCAGUAAUUUCUUAACUAGAGUAAUAUGAAGAAAUCCAGUCAUUCUGGUAAAAUCAGGGACAUUGUCUCAUAUUCAGCUUGAAAAUACAUGGAGGGGCAAUAUAUAACAACAUAUUCAGAAUAUCAAUGGCCAUUGUUAGUACUUAUUCAUACAAACAAAAUCUGAAAGUUCUGAAGUUCUGAUUGAGUUUGUGUAUACUCAUGUUCUGCUAGUAUAAUGAUUGAAAGUGUGUAUACUUAUAUUCUGCUAGUAUAAUGAUUGAAAGUGUGUAUACUUAUAUUCUGCUAGUAUAAUAAUGAUUUAAAUAUUGUAAAAGUCAUAUUUUUGUGCCCUGAUUGACACUGAUUUUGCGUGGCUUUCUUGCUUUUCCAGUAGUCUUUUUUACUAGUUAGAGUUAUCAUGUUGACAUAAUAUUCCCUGGGGAAAAAAUAAACAUUUUUUCCCUGUUUAAUUCAAAACUAAUGCUCCUUUAAAGUAUCUUUAAAUAUAGCACUGGAUGUGUUGGAAAACUUUAUUUGGACACAGAGGAUUAUCAGAAAGUCCUCCAUUCAUAUUUACUUUGAUGAAAGAUUAUAUACCUUUAGAAAUUAUUAAAUAAAAUGCUCCGCAGGGCGCAGCUUGAUACGACCGCAGAGGUCGAACCCUGAACAGUUGGGGCAAGUAUGGACACAACAUUCAAGCUUGAUACAGCUCUGAAUUUGGAUUGUGAUUAAAUAUUUGACACAGCAUAGGUUUCUGACACAGAAUGAAUGUGGUCUAAGAACUUAAAAAUUUUAAAUUGGACAUUCACCUAUUAUGGUCCAAUAUCCAAAAUCUAAAUACAUGGUUAGAUUCAGCAUAUCAAAGAACCCCAAGAAUUCAAUUUUUGAUGAAAUCAAACAAAGUUUAAUUUUGGACCCUUUUGACCUCAAUGUGGACAAAGUUGAUAACGGGGCCCAAAAAUCAAAAAUCUAAAUACAUGGUUAGAUUCAUCAUAUCAAAGAACCCCAUAUAUUCAAUUUUUGUUGAAAUCAAACAAAGUUUAAUUUUGGACCCCGAUUUGGACCAACUUGAAAACUGGGCCCAUAAUCAAAAAUCUAAAUACAUGUUUAGAUUCAGCAUAGCAAAGAACCCUAAGAAUUCAAUUUCUGUUAAAAUCAAACUAAGUUUAAUUUUGGACCCUUUGGACCUUAAUGUAGGCCAAUUUGAAAACGGAACCAAAAAUUAAGAAUCUAAAUACACGGUUAGAUUCGGCAUAUCAAAGAACCCCAAUAAUUCAAUUUUUGAUGAAAUCAAACAAAGUUUAAUUUUGGACCCUUUGGACCUCAAUGUGGACCAAUUUAAAACGGGGCCCAAAAUCCAAUCAAAGCACGAAAGCGCUGUAAAGGCAGUUAAUUACAGGUUGUGUGUAUUUUAAGUCCAGUUAUAUCAUUAUCUUGCAUAGUACAGUGUACUUAUCAGAGGUGGCUUUCAGUAUUUAAGAUUUAGAGUUCUCUAAUGAUAUUGAAUAAGUUUUAUGAAUGUCAUAUUCUGAGCACUAUAUGAAGGCAAUUGUUCUCACUUGUUUAUGAACUAGUGCAUUAUGUCCAGUUUGUACCUUUUUUAUCUAUGUUUAUAGUCAAAUUAGUUAUCAAAGGUACCAGGAUUAUAAUUUAAUACGCCAGACGUGUGUUUCGUCUACAUAAGACUCAUCAGUGACGUUCAGAUCAAAAUAGUAACAAAGCCAAACAAGUACUAAGUUGAAGAGCAUUGAGGACCCAAAAUUCCAAAAAGUUCUGCCAAAUACGGCUAAGGUAAUCUAUUCCUUGGAUAAGAAAAUCCCUAGUUUUUUCAUUGGCAAUCAUAACACAUCUCCUUAUUUAUAUAAUGAUCUAUAUUCAACGACCCCAGGUACAAAAAAAAUGUAUGUAACUAAACUAUGAUGGGAAACCUUUGACUUCUUUCUUUAUAUAAACUUUUGAUUUGGUACCAUAGAACUAUGUAGAGUAAAUGUACAUUGCAACAUGUCAACUCUUUCAACUCCAAGCAAAAUUAUAUUUCCAAGCAUAAAGUAAUUUAUGAAUGAAAUAAAAUGCUCCGCUGGGGCGCAGCUUGAUACGACCGCAGAGGUCGAACCCUGAACAGUUGGGGCAAGUAUGAACACAACAUUCAAGCUUGAUUCAGCACUGAAUUUGGAUUGUAAUUAAAUAUUUGACACAGCAUAGGUUUCUGACACAGAAUGAAAGUGGUCGAAGAUACUUAAAAAAAUUUAAUUUACCUAUUCAAACCAUAUCAUUAUUAUUUGCUUUUAUAUAUAAAUCAGAAAUAACCAAUCUAAAAUGGAAAAUUUUAAAGAAAAAAAAGGAAAAAGAAUCCCCCCCCCCAAAUUUUUUGAACCCCCUUAUGAUUCAUCACCCCAAAACUCAAUCCCAGCCUUCCCUUUGUGGUAUGGUACCUUGCAGUACAAUUUCAUAAAGAUCCAUACACUUGAACACAUGUUAUUGUCUGGAAACUAGAAAAAUGCUUGUUUUUUGGCCCCUUUUUGGUCCCAAAUUCCUAAACUUUUAGGACAAUUACCCCCAAACUCAAACCCAGCUUUCCCUUUGUGAUAUGCAACCUUGUAGUACAAUUUCAUAAAGAUCCAUACACUUACACACAAGUUAUUGCCAUGAAACUAGAAAAAUGCUUGUUUUUUGACCCUUUUUGGCCCCUAAUUCCUAAAAUUUGGAGGCAAUUACCCCCAAAAUCAAUCCCAGCAUUCCCUUUGUGAUAUGGAACCAUGUGAUACAAUGUCAGAGAGAUCCAUAGACUUACACACAAGUUAUUGUCAUGAAACUAGAAAAAUGCUUGUUUUUUUCCCCUUUUUGGCCCCUAAUUCCUAAAAUUUGGAGGCAAUUACCCCCAAAAUCAAUCCCAGCAUUCCCUUAGUGGUAUGGUACCUUGCAGUACAAUUUCAGAGAGAUCCAUACACUUGAACACAAGUUAUUGUCUGGAAACUAGAAAAAUGCUUAUUUUUGGCCCCUAAUUCCUUAACUGUUGGUACCAUAACCCCCAAAAUCAAUCCCCACUUUCCCUUUGUGGUAUUGAACCUUAUUUUAAAAUUUCAUUGAGAUCCAUUCACUUAAACUAAAGUUAGAGUGCGAAAACUAAUGUGUCUUCGGACGACGA
Long non-coding RNA from Mytilus californianus (California mussel), 3163 nucleotides. RefSeq lists it as uncharacterized. The transcript has 2 exons. The record is from RefSeq and is a predicted model, not a curated record. NCBI's taxonomy places the organism in Eukaryota, Metazoa, Mollusca, Bivalvia, Mytilida, Mytilidae.